GCUGGUGUGGUGUAGUGGUUUGAAUGUAGGCUAAUAAUACUGGGGACCAGGGUUCAAUUCCCAGCUCAGCC
Non-coding RNA from Phrynosoma platyrhinos (Desert horned lizard), 71 nucleotides. The record is from the annotation of a GenBank genome assembly. Lineage: Eukaryota; Metazoa; Chordata; Lepidosauria; Squamata; Phrynosomatidae.